AGAGUUUGAUUCUGGCUCAGAUUGAACGCUGGCGGAAUGCUUUACACAUGCAAGUCGAACGGCAGCACGGACUUCGGUCUGGUGGCGAGUGGCGAACGGGUGAGUAAUGCAUCGGAACGUGCCCAAUCGUGGGGGAUAACGUAGCGAAAGUUACGCUAAUACCGCAUACGAUCUAAGGAUGAAAGCGGGGGAUCGCAAGACCUCGCGCGAAUGGAGCGGCCGAUGUUAGAUUAGGUAGUUGGUGGGGUAAAGGCUCACCAAGCCGACGAUCUAUAGCUGGUCUGAGAGGAUGAUCAGCCACACUGGGACUGAGACACGGCCCAGACUCCUACGGGAGGCAGCAGUGGGGAAUUUUGGACAAUGGGCGCAAGCCUGAUCCAGCCAUUCCGCGUGCAGGAUGAAGGCCCUCGGGUUGUAAACUGCUUUUGUACAGAACGAAAAGCUCUGGGUUAAUACCCUGGGGUCAUGACGGUACUGUAAGAAUAAGCACCGGCUAACUACGUGCCAGCAGCCGCGGUAAUACGUAGGGUGCAAGCGUUAAUCGGAAUUACUGGGCGUAAAGCGUGCGCAGGCGGUUAUGUAAGACAGAGGU
RNAcentral lists this ribosomal RNA (592 nucleotides) under uncultured bacterium. Its description in RNAcentral is "bacterial SSU rRNA". It matches the Rfam family "Bacterial small subunit ribosomal RNA", at positions 8 to 595 of the family's 1533-position model. The record is from RNAcentral.